RNAcentral lists this ribosomal RNA (393 nucleotides) under uncultured bacterium. RNAcentral describes it as "partial 16S ribosomal RNA". It matches the Rfam family "Bacterial small subunit ribosomal RNA", at positions 523 to 918 of the family's 1533-position model. The record is from RNAcentral.
AUACGGAGGAUCCGAGCGUUAUCCGGAUUUAUUGGGUUUAAAGGGUGCGCAGGCGGAGAUGCAAGCGUGACGUCAAAUUUCGGGGCUCAACCCCGUCUCGCGUCGCGAACUGCGUCCCUUGGUUGCGGGAAGGGGAGGCGGAACUCGUGGUGUAGCGGUGAAAUGCAUAGAUAUCACGAAGAACUCCGAUCGCGAAGGCAGCCUUCCGGCCCGUCAACGACGCUCAUGCUCGAAGGUGCGGGUAUCAAACAGGAUUAGAUACCCUGGUAGUCCGCACAGUAAACGAUGGACACCCGCGGUUUGGCCUGUAUGGCUGAGCCGCCAAGCGAAAGCGUUAAGUGUCCCACCUGGGGAGUACGCCGGCAACGGUGAAACUCAAAUGAAUUGACGGGG